This 392-nucleotide ribosomal RNA is filed under the name uncultured eukaryote. RNAcentral's name for it is "partial 18S ribosomal RNA". It matches the Rfam family "Eukaryotic small subunit ribosomal RNA", at positions 592 to 976 of the family's 1831-position model. The record is from RNAcentral.
CAAUAGCGUAUACUAAAGUUGUUGCGAUUAAAAAGCUCGUAGUUGGAUCUCAGGCAUGGGCGCACGGUCCGCCUCGCGGCGGUCACUGUGUGUUUUGUUUCCCAUCCUACGCUUCCCGGUUAUCAGCCCAUGGUGCUCUUCACUGAGCGUUUUGGGUGGCCGGAACGUUUACUUUGAAGAAAUUAGAGUGUUCAAAGCAGGCACGUCGCCUGAAUAAUGGUGCAUGGAAUAAUGGAAUAGGACCUCGGUUCUAUUUUGCUGGUUUUCGGAACACGAGGUAAUGAUUAAGAGGGACAGACGGGGGCAUCCGUAUUGCGGUGUUAGAGGUGAAAUUCUUGGAUCAUCGCAAGACGAACAACUGCGAAAGCAUUUGCCAAGCAUGUUUCCAUUAG